This 542-nucleotide long non-coding RNA is filed under the name Phaseolus vulgaris (common bean). RNAcentral describes it as "long non-coding RNA (PVUL_LNC000542)". The record is from RNAcentral. Lineage: Eukaryota; Viridiplantae; Streptophyta; Magnoliopsida; Fabales; Fabaceae.
GGUUUGGGCUGUUAUGAAUGCUCUUAAGAACAAUGGAGUCAAACUCAUCCUCGAUGAUGAAAACGAUGACAAAUUCUUGGCCUGAUUCAUGUUAAAAAUAUGGUGAGUCUUCUGCUAAUAACUUCUAUGCAAUCAAAAGAACAUGGAAGUAUUAUUUCUCAGAAGCAUUAUUGUCAGAAUCUAAAUGAAAAUCUUCAAUUUAGUUAUUGAAAAUGUUAGCAAUAAUCAAAAUUACAAGGAAGUAUUAUUCAAUAUUAUUUCUCAGAAGCAUUAUUGUCAGAAUCUAAAUGAAAAUCUUCAAUUUAGUUAUUGAAAAAUGUUAGCAAUAUACUUUUACCCAGAUACUCUUAUUGUUGGCAAAAAUUUAUUGAAAAUCACAAAAUUGUGUUGCUUGUUCUCACUUUAUUUACUGAGUUUUAUCCAAGAUUUUGUGAUAUUUUUUAUAGAUUUUAAACCAAAGUAAGAUUAUGUUACAAGAACUCUUCUUUACUUCGUUUUAAUUCAUUUGUGAUAGUAAAACAGAUUAACUUAUCAGUCAUACC